UGUCCAGGGAUGGGAAUCGAACCCACAAUGUUCCGCUUACCGGGCAGAUGCCAUGUCCACUAGGUCCUUAUAGUUUACUAGAC
This 83-nucleotide transfer RNA is filed under the name Cordylochernes scorpioides. RNAcentral's name for it is "tRNA-Thr". The record is from RNAcentral. Lineage: Eukaryota; Metazoa; Arthropoda; Arachnida; Pseudoscorpiones; Chernetidae.